Molecule: long non-coding RNA, 3718 nt
Organism: Homo sapiens (human)
Lineage: Eukaryota; Metazoa; Chordata; Mammalia; Primates; Hominidae
Exons: 3
Source: RefSeq, a predicted model, not a curated record
UUGGGAACGACAAACCUGAUGAGGGUGAAGGGUAGGUUGAAGUGCAUCAUAGCAGAGAGGUGAGAGAAAGAGAGCACAGACCUGGCUGAAGAGAUGGGGGAUCAGAAAAAGCAUUCUUCAGAUGCCUUCUUGUCCCGGCUCAGAACACCCCAAAGCUCAGAGGAACAGGACUGGGUUCACAAGGAAGAACAGGGAAGCUGUCUGGGCUAUCAACACUCUUCAGUGUCUUGGAAUCAACCCAGCAUGUCCUGCUGCUGCUGCUUUCUGCCUCUGCUAGCUUGGAUCCGGUAGGAAGAACAGAGUUUUACAUUCCUUCAGUGAGUAAUUGACAAAGCUCCACACCAGGUGUGAGUGGGGGGGUGGGGAGGCUCAUAUUUGCUCCUCCCCUGACUUCUUCCCCACCCUCCCUCCUUCUAGGCACACCAGGGAUUUGUUCAUCAGGGCUGAUCUUGAAUGGUGGAGAUAGAUUCAAGCCAUUUUGAGCCCAGGUCCAGGGUAAACAAGUAACAGAAUCCUGUAGGCUGUUACAUUUGUUGUUUUAAAAAGACUUGGUACAUUAUUUGUAAGGGAGUGCCGUGGGAAGUAAAAUAGUUCUUUCAGCUGGCAGGCAUGCCUAUCUGUCAUGAUACUUAAAAAAAAUUAAACUUAUGGCCUAAUUCCAAUCAGAGAGGUUUCAGAUAUUUAAUAAUCUCAUUUGUUACAGUUUCUCCAAAAGCAUUUGUUUUUGUUAAGUUUUAAAAUCAAUCUUCUCCAUUCACCCUAAUUGGGAGUUACAAAGACAUUUUAAAUUGUAAAAUCAUUCUAUAUCCAUUGUAUACAGUUAGGGAAAUAUAAAAAAUAAUUACAAAUAAACUAAACAUCCAUCAUUCUAGAAAUGAAUACUGUUAACAUUUAAGCAUAUUUCCUCCCUGUCUUUUUUUCUUGCUGUUUUACAUAAUGGAGAUUUUAAAAGAUAAAAAGCUUUGUAUUUUUUCCUAGUAUUAUGUCAUAGGAGUGGCUCUAGGUUAUUAAACAUUCUUCAAAAACUCAAUUUUUAAAGUUUGCUUAGUAUGUCUUCUUAUAGCUAUAAUAUGAUUUGCUUGUUUCCCUAAUGUUGAUUGAGUAUUAGGCUGUUUCCAAUUUUUUGAGGUUAAAAAAAACACUACCGUGAAUAUCUUUGUGUGUGUGUGUGUGUGUGUGUGUGUGUGUUUGUGUGUGUUUUAGUAUAGGUAUGACAGUAGGCGAUCUGGCUACAUUCUGUUGCCUAUUUUAGAUGGGGAUAGGACUGCCCCCUUGCCAUUAUGAAUGACAGCUGUCAGCCAAAGAGAGGGCUGCGCUAGAGACUGUCAAUCUGGCUCCUGGGAGAAGGGAUAACACUCAGCACAGGAAUGUUGUAAACACGUUAGGGAGGUCUUGCAAUUCCACUUUGAAAUGGAGGAACCUAAACUACAAUCCAUUUUCACAUGAGGUCGGGUUUGUUCAGGGUGGUAUGGCCAUAGAUAACAAUCCAUUUUCAAAGGAAACAGAGGUUUUCAAAAAGCCUUUUGAAUGGACUGGGCUAGUAUUGUGUGAUUUUUAAAUUAAAUUACACAUGUUAAAAAUGGGCGAUCUAAUGAAAUAGAGAAUAGAGGUUACUUUGAAUGAUAAACUAGUAGGAAUAGUAUUCGUGAAGUUCCAGGCAGGCUGACUUCCUUGGUGAGUUCACCGGGGUGACAGGACGAGUGUUGGAGUUGGCAAAGCAGAAUUCUAAUACCAGCUGGGCCAUAUUGGGCAGGUUGCUUGAUGUCUCUGAGCCUCAGAUUCCCCACUAACAAAAUGAGGCUGAUAAUGACACUAAUAUUUCUCACCUGCAGUUUGUUGUUGAGAGGAUUUAAACACCAAGGGAGGAUCAGUAAAUGGCAGCUAAGGCUGUGCCCUAAGGGAUGGCUGAGGCUUGUUCUUAACCCAGAAUUCAAAAUAGGCCUGCCUGACCUCAGGACAGCGCAACACAAGAGACUUGCACGUACAGAACAUGGAUGUAAAGAGGGAAUCCUGGGUUAUAGUUUCAGAAUCCACUGUGGGGAUCUUAAACCCUCUCUCUUCAGCCUUUAAUAAAUGAUUUAAUUUGCACACUGGACAGUUCAACACUAUUUUUUUUUUUUUUUUUUUUUUGCCCCAGCCUGUGAAAAGGGACGGGGUUGGGCUAAGGCAACGUUGAAACAUUGCAUUCCUCUGCCAGAAGCUUAAAAACCCUGCAAUCAAACCCGAGGCCCUAUGCGGAAACAAGUGUAUCCGAUGACAGCUUAUUAUGGAAGGUUCUGAACUUCUAAGAAUUCCUUAGUAGGAGACAAACAAAAUACAAAGAUAUCCUCCUAAUUUUCUGCGACUGGGAAUUUUUGUUUUUCUCUUCCUCACUUCUCCCAUCCAUUCUGCAUGUUUGUUAAAAUGUAGGCACACAGGGUCCACGGUGUGUGGUACUUGAGUGGGCAAAAGGCUAGUUCAGCUGGCCAGCGAGGCAGACAAGACGUGGUUCAACACACGCAUUGCUGGGAGCUGGGACUUCUCCUUCAUUAGUUAAACAUGGGCAUGAAGUAAAGAUUUCUGGUGUGUGUGUCUGUGUGUUUUCAAACGGCAGGUUCAGCACUUCUAAGUACAUAGCAUGAUAGGAAGAGAAGUCUGUAAUCACCUCUCAUGUCUGGGGUCCUGAUGGGCCCAGAGCAGAUUUGAUUUACGUUAUCUUCAAGCGGGAAACUUGUCAUCCAGUCUUCAUUUGCCCUUCUCUCUGGGCAGGAAAGAGCUCCAUUUUUCCCGCUCCACAGAGGACAUUUUAUUUUUGCAGUUCUUUGAAGUGCCCUCAGAGAUCUAAGCACCAGGCUGAAGGCAGCUCUGUGUAUCCUUGCAACAGAUUAGAACAUAUUCACAUUUUAUUUGCUCACAGAACAAAUAUUUCCCUUGGAAUGAGACCGAGGCAGUGGAGCAGGACCAGGCAGGACCAGCCACCAAAGACGGCCCCCCAGGCCCCAUGCUGGGCCUGCUCAGCGCCUGCACAAUUGGUUCCACAUAAUUGCUUCUCCACACUCACCUCAUUUAGGCCCUAUAGACACAUAUGGGCUGAUUAGUUGAGUCAUUUAUUGAUUCAGGAAUAUUUGUCGAGCCUCAACAAUGUACCAAACACUAUGCUGGUUACAGAAAUAAAGAGAGAAACACAUUCUGUCCUCAAGGGGCUCCUAAUCAAGUAGGGGAGAGAAGCAAUGUCUGUAUAUUAAUGAAUCAAAUCAAGGUGACAAAGAUAAGGCUUCAGAACCCAGGAGACAAAGUGUUUGAGGCCGAAGCUCCCUAGCGCUGGGGCCUCCACUCUGGGAAGGGCCCUGUGGGUGAAUCUCUGAGCGUUUACUGGGCUCCUUCUCUACCUGGGCUGCCGCACCCAGAACAGUUCUUAGAGUUUCCAGCCUCCUGAGCUCGCGGAAUAGCAAAGAAGAAUCAGAAAUGUUUCAAAUACAGCUAAGACCGUCUUUGGUUCCACCCAACACUUUCUCCUCAUGAGUGAUGGUAAUGUCCUGAUGAAUUUCUGCUUGGAAACAACUGGACUCAGUCAGUUGAGAAAUGACAGAGCUCAUAUGCACAACACCUUGAAGCCUUCCUUCAGCAAUGCGGACGAUACACACAACCUUCAACACUUCAGAGAGAAUCCUCCGUGAUGAUGUAUGCUCAAGUAUUUUGGUGUGAGAUGUCAUGAUACCUAUAACUUACUUAUUAAAAA